Molecule: non-coding RNA, 718 nt
Organism: Paramuricea clavata
Lineage: Eukaryota; Metazoa; Cnidaria; Anthozoa; Malacalcyonacea; Plexauridae
Source: the annotation of a GenBank genome assembly
AGGUGGAAGAGCGUGGUGAUGCCACGUUAUGUUGCUGUGGUCCAUCGAGUGAAAAUCAAGUUGAAUGUGGUGGAAGUGCAGGAAUAUGUAAACAUUUUUAUGAUUCCGCUCCAAGUGGACGUUACGGCACUAUGACGUAUUUUUCACAAGCAGUAGCUGCUCGCCUAUGUUUAUUAUCUCAUGCCAAGGAAUGUAUUGUAAGUUGAUGGAUCAAGAUGACCAAGGAUGAAUAUAGUUAGAAAAAGUGAAUGUAAAUAGUGUAGUUAUAUUUCAAUGAUAUUAAGAGUAUUAAAUUAUUGAUAGAUCUUGUCUUCUAGCCAAAUGGGUUCAAUUCCUUGCCCAGUUAAGGUGAUUGAAUAGUCUGCAAGAUGUCAACGCAAAUUCGGGAAAUGUUUAUAUUGGAAAACGGUGACGUCUUAAACAUUUUUCCAUCAGGCUUUUCUGUUAUGAAUACAUUGCGAUAGGUUGUAGUAGAGUAUAUUAGGAUAUACCAAUCAAAAUUGAAAAUUUACAGUAGCUGGUUACCUAUUUGGACAAAAGUGAAAUCACUAACGUAGGAAGCAAUUUUGCAUGGGGGGGGGGCUGAUUAGUUAGGAGAGAUUAUUAGGUCAUUAUUUCCCUGUCAAACUUUACAGAUUAUCGCUAGUUUACAAAUUAUUGGCGGGACUUCAGUCCCCCCCGAGUAUAUAACUUUUAUAUAACUUAUAGUACUGAAUCC